UACAGAGGGGGCAAGCGUUGUUCGGAAUUACUGGGCGUAAAGGGCGCGUAGGCGGCCUGCUAAGUCGAACGUGAAAUCCCUGGGCUCAACCCAGGAACUGCGUCCGAUACUGGUUGGCUUGAAUCCGGGAGAGGGAUGUGGAAUUCCAGGUGUAGCGGUGAAAUGCGUAGAUAUCUGGAGGGACACCGGUGGCGAAGGCGACAUCCUGGACCGGUAUUGACGCUGAGGCGCGAAAGCCAGGGGAGCAAACGGG
Molecule: ribosomal RNA, 253 nt
Filed under: uncultured bacterium
Lineage: Bacteria
Description: partial 16S ribosomal RNA
Rfam family: Bacterial small subunit ribosomal RNA
Source: RNAcentral